Molecule: RNA transcript, 2692 nt
Organism: Populus euphratica (Euphrates poplar)
Lineage: Eukaryota; Viridiplantae; Streptophyta; Magnoliopsida; Malpighiales; Salicaceae
Exons: 3
Source: RefSeq, a predicted model, not a curated record
AACUGCGAAUCCUUAGAAGUCCUCAGGCAUCAACCUGAAAACAAAAUAUCAAAAACAGGUCGUCUUUUCUUAUUCUACCUCGGAUUGACCGAAUUUCGUUUGUUUACCCCUUUUUUUCUGGCUCUCUGCUUUUGCUAUUGCUAUAUAUGAUGGUGGUGUGGCGUCCGGUUUAAUCACGCUUUCUACUUUUUUAAACUCCCACCUCACUGCUCACCCUGCUCUUCCUUUGUGGUACUACCUAGCAUUAUUGCGUUGGCGAUGGUAGCUGACUCGUGGUUUAUUAAUUGGAGGUGGAAUUCACGAAAAGUCUCUGCAGAGACUGAUAAGGAAGUAAUCGGAGUAUUGGCAUAUGAAGUUGCAGGCUUGAUGUCCAAGGUCGUUAAUUUAUGGAACUAUUUGAGUGAUAGAGAGAUCCAUAGGUUGAGGGAAGAGAUUGUCAACUCAGUUGGAGUUAAAAGGCUUGUAGCUGAGGAUCAUGAUUGCCUGAUGGAUCUUGCACUAAAUGAGAUACUGGAGAAUUUCAGGCUAAUUGCAAGAUCUGUGGCUCGGCUUGGGAGGAAGUGCAAAGACCCUCCUUUCCUCCUAUUUGAACGUUUUGUUAAUGACCCGGUUGGGAAUAAUCUUGAGUGGUUUGGUUGGCAAUAUAGAUUAAAGAAGAUGGAGAGGAAAGUUAAAAAAAUGGAGAAAUUUGUUGAAGUAACAAUGCAAUUGUCUCAAGAGCUGGAAGUUCUUGCAGAACUUGAACAAACUCUUAGGAGACUGCGGGCCAAUGCUGACUUAGAUCGUGUGAAAUUGCUCCAAUUUCAGAAGAAAGUAAUUUGGCAGCAACAGGAAGUUAGAAAUCUGCGGGAGAUGUCACCAUGGAUUAGAACCUAUGAUUAUGUUGUCCGUCUUUUGGCAAGAUCACUUUUAACUAUACUUGAGAGAAUCAAGCAUGUUUUUGAGAUCAAUCAACUACCAUCUGCUCAGGGAAACAGCAAUUGCAAACAGAGGAAUCCUGAUUGUCUUCCUCAGACCCGUUCCUUUUCUGUUCUAAUGCAAUCUUCUAUACUUCCUUCAGAGGAUAUUCUACAUGGGUUCUCUUCAGAACCUACAGGAACAUCAGGUUCGACUUCAGGACUGGCUGCUGAGAAGUAUAAAAUAAGCAAGCAGCAGCUUCAACCUCAUCAUCAGUCAUCCAGCCUGCAUGGAAAGCAGUCUCGCUUGAAAACAAAAAGAUUGUCUCAUGUUGGUCCUUUUAAAGAAUGCAUGAUGAGCGGAAGUGAUUCUCCUAUUUUGCUGACCUGCAAUUCUGUUGUUGGUGGUUCUUUGAGGCUCACGAGUGACUAUAUGAAAAAAGUUGAUCUAAUGGAAAAAUCAAAUAUGGAAUCUCUUGCACGCAGCAACCGAUUUUAUUCUAAAUUAGCUCUAUUCAAUUCAAAGCAGGGGUUGUUGAAAGGUCCCUCACCCACUCUUGGUGCUGCUGCUUUAGCUCUCCAUUACGCAAAUUUGAUCAUAUUAAUUGAUAAGGUAGCUUCAUCAACUCAUAUGAUUGACUUUGAAACAAGAGAUGAACUAUAUGGCAUGUUACCCACAACUAUAAGAUCUGCUCUGAAGGCUAGGCUCAAGGCACAUGCCAAAUCUCUAGCUCCAUUUGUAUAUGAUGCUUCACUUGCAGCAGAGUGGAACCUGGCUUUGUCACAGAUAUUGGAAUGGCUGUCUCCACUGGCUCAUAACAUGAUAAGAUGGCAGUCCAAGCAAAACUUUGAGAGGGCACAUGAGGUUUCCAGCACAAAUGUACCCCUGUUUCAGACCCUCUAUUUUGCGGAUCAAGCAAAGACUGAGGCUGCAAUAACAGAACUUCUUGUUGGUCUGAACUACAUCUGCCGGUUUAACACAGAACAUGAUGAAAAAGCCUUGCCAGAGAUUCCGGGCUGCAGAGCUAGUUCCUUUUAUGAGCCAAAAAGGGAUCAUCACGCAUAUUAUAUGGCACAGGAUUGAACAGUUUCUCAUAGGUCUCAAAUGAUGAGGUGACAAAGUUCAUGAAAUGAUUUCAAUUGGGCUACCAGACCAUACUCCCAGAAAGCAACUUCUUAAUGCCUCAUCCUCACAUUAUUGAGAGACGCUGGAGCAUGUGCCAGUUUGGGCCAUAACGACCUAGUGCCAGUGAUCCUUGGCUGUAAUUAUGAGCUGUAAACACAAGGACUUUGCGAUCGCUGGAAGCAAGGUCAUGAUUCUUGAAUAAUCCUGCAGCAGUCUCGGCUGACUGUAUCACCAAGGUGUUUGUGCAUCCAAGUUUUAGCCAAUACAGGACCAUACUUUUCUUUGAGCUUGUACAAUGUCUGGUGUGGAAUGGCUCCAAGGUCAAAGAUGUUACCAAAGACUAGUCAUGCCGGGGGGCCCGGUGGUUGUUGUUUGUUAUCAACUCUCGAUUUUCUCUGUUUCAGUAGCAGAAACAAUGCCUCUGACAUGAAAAGACCCUACCCGGCAAGUAAAUUCCAGGCGCUCUCCAUUUUCGGUGUUCAGUUUUCUUCUUUGUUCUCCUAAUUUAUAUGCAAAAAACUUUUUGUUUCCAUAUCAUCAAAAGAUUUGGUGGUCCAAUUACUUGGAUUGCCCUGUGAUCAUGGGAACUUAUAUUAAGGUUUCUUCUAUUUGCUAUUGUAAAUUGAAAUAUAGUAUUCACAUUAAUCAUUUGUUUGAGGGUGUCUUCUGA